AUGGCGGCCUGCCUACAGAAAGGUUCUGAUGUUCCUGAAACUGUUGAUGUUGCUGAGCUCAUGGUUGGGCAUUGCUCUAUUGUUGAGGAAGACGUGUCGUGUGGCGCUGAUGUCGGUGUUGUCCCCGUGAAGAAGAAAAUCAAGAAGACCGCUACCAGGAAGAAUUUAGUUGGUGAACUUACUCCUCGAAGGAGCCCACGUGUUUCAAGGACUGCAGAACUUGCUGAAGAGGAAGGGCUAGCACUUGGUGGUAUACCACGCCGUAGUCCUCGUGUGCUUGCCACUGCGGCGCCUACGCCUUCUUCGCUUGGUGCUGGUGCAUCUGGUAAGGGGAAGAAAUGCGGCAUUAAGCGCAAGGUUGCACCUGCAAAGGUCAACAAGGGUGUGAAGAAGCGUUCUCGUGUUAAUCCAGAGGACAAGGAUGAUGUUGAUUUCAAUGCUGAUGACGAGGAUGAUGAUGAUGAUGAUGAUGCUGUCGCUAAUCAGGUAUGA
RNAcentral lists this ribosomal RNA (492 nucleotides) under Triticum aestivum (bread wheat). RNAcentral's name for it is "partial small subunit ribosomal RNA". Lineage: Eukaryota; Viridiplantae; Streptophyta; Magnoliopsida; Poales; Poaceae. The record is from RNAcentral.